Molecule: ribosomal RNA, 494 nt
Filed under: uncultured Pseudomonadaceae bacterium
Lineage: Bacteria; Pseudomonadati; Pseudomonadota; Gammaproteobacteria; Pseudomonadales; Pseudomonadaceae
Description: bacterial SSU rRNA
Rfam family: Bacterial small subunit ribosomal RNA
Source: RNAcentral
GCCCGCUCAGAAACUUAAAUGAAUUGACGGGGGCCCGCACAAGCGGAGGAACAUGUGGUUUAAUUCGAUGAUACGCGAGGAACUUACCUGGGCUAGAACGCAAUCGGAAUCAGGCCGAAAGGUCUGCGCCAGCGAUGGCCGGUUGCGAGGUGCUGCAUGGUUGUCGUCAGCUCGUGUCGUGAGAUGUUGGGUUAAGUCCCGUAACGAGCGCAACCCUUGUCCUUAGUUACCAGCACGUUAUGGUGGGCACUCUAAGGAGACUGCCGGUGACAAACCGGAGGAAGGUGGGGAUGACGUCAAGUCAUCAUGGCCCUUACGGCCUGGGCUACACACGUGCUACAAUGGUCGGUACAAAGGGUUGCCAAGCCGCGAGGUGGAGCUAAUCCCAUAAAACCGAUCGUAGUCCGGAUCGCAGUCUGCAACUCGACUGCGUGAAGUCGGAAUCGCUAGUAAUCGUGAAUCAGAAUGUCACGGUGAAUACGUUCCCGGGCCUU